ACUGGGAUUAGAUACCCCACUAUGCCUAGCCUUAAACAUUGACACUUACACUAUUUCAUCCGCCCGGGAACUACGAGCCGCAGCUUAAAACCCAAAGGACUUGGCGGUACCCCAAACCCACCUAGAGGAGCCUGUUCUAUAAUCGAUACCCCCCGCUUAACCUCACCACCCCUCGCCAGCAGCCUAUAUACCACCGUCGCCAGCCCACCUCGUGAGAGGAAACAAGUAGGCAUAAUGGUAACCACCAAAACGUCAGGUCAAGGUGUAGCCUAUGGGGCGGAAAGCAAUGGGCUACACUUUCUACACAGAAAACUACGGAAGACUAUUAUGAAACCUAGUCUGAAGGCGGAUUUAGUAGUAAAAAGAUUCAAGAGUGUUCUUUUUAAUCUGGCCCUGGGGCGCGCACACACCGCCCGU
Molecule: ribosomal RNA, 417 nt
Filed under: Alytes muletensis (Mallorcan midwife toad)
Lineage: Eukaryota; Metazoa; Chordata; Amphibia; Anura; Alytidae
Description: partial 12S ribosomal RNA
Rfam family: Bacterial small subunit ribosomal RNA
Source: RNAcentral